AUAUUCUUAUCGAUUAUAAAUAGAUACAUAAGUGUUCGUAACCAUUCAAAUAUAUAGAUAAUCAAUGGCUAAGUCCCAAGUUUACUUCCUUGUCUUUCUUUCCUGCUUCCUUCUCAUUACAAGUAUAAUCGCUCAAAUGGAACUAGAACUCGAUCCACCACCUAUCGCAUGUGUAGAUCAAGUCAGCACUUCAUCAGAGGGAAGUUGUUUUAAUUGUGAUUUCAAUUGCAAAAACAAUGAGGAUGCUUCUGAUGGAAUUUGUCAAUUUGGAGUUUGUUAUUGCAGGAUUUGUUCUACCGCUAUUCAUAAACCUUAGUAGGGAAAUUUAUUUAAUGGACCAUCGACUUCAAUUUGUUUGGGAUUAAAAUCGACAUUAGUUACUACCAUAAUAAUAAUGCCAAAUUUCAGAGAUUUAACUUUUCUCUAUGUUUUGCUCUGUAACACUUAUUUUCCUGUGGUUUAAGAUUUGAUGUUUGGUCUAA
This is a long non-coding RNA of Solanum lycopersicum (tomato), 482 nucleotides long. RefSeq lists it as uncharacterized. NCBI's taxonomy places the organism in Eukaryota, Viridiplantae, Streptophyta, Magnoliopsida, Solanales, Solanaceae. The record is from RefSeq and is a predicted model, not a curated record.